GACGAACGCUGGCGGCGUGCUUAACACAUGCAAGUCGAACGGAAAGGCCCUGCUUUUGUGGGGUGCUCGAGUGGCGAACGGGUGAGUAACACGUGAGUAACCUGCCCUUGACUUUGGGAUAACUUCAGGAAACUGGGGCUAAUACCGGAUAGGAGCUCCUGCUGCAUGGUGGGGGUUGGAAAGUUUCGGCGGUUGGGGAUGGACUCGCGGCUUAUCAGCUUGUUGGUGGGGUAGUGGCUUACCAAGGCUUUGACGGGUAGCCGGCCUGAGAGGGUGACCGGCCACAGUGGGACUGAGAUACGGCCCAGACUCCUACGGGAGGCAGCAGUGGGGAAUAUUGCGCAAUGGGCGGAAGCCUGAUGCAGCAACGCCGCGUGCGGGAUGACGGCCUUCGGGUUGUAAACCGCUUUCGCCUGUGACGAAGCGUGAGUGACGGUAAUGGGUAAAGAAGCACCGGCUAACUACGUG
This 468-nucleotide ribosomal RNA is filed under the name uncultured bacterium. RNAcentral describes it as "partial 16S ribosomal RNA". It matches the Rfam family "Bacterial small subunit ribosomal RNA", at positions 28 to 507 of the family's 1533-position model. The record is from RNAcentral.